UCGUCGGUGCGCGCACUCGUGCGCGUCGCACGGCCUAACGAACCCCGGCGCGAAAAGCGUCAAGGAACACUCAAAACGCCGCCCGCCCUCGGUGCCCCGUUCGCGGCGUGCACCCGGGGGAUCGGACGCGUGUCGAAUUUAAAACGACUCUCGGCAACGGAUAUCUUGGCUCUCGCAUCGAUGAAGAACGCAGCAAAAUGCGAUACUUGGUGUGAAUUGCAGAAUCCCGUGAACCAUCGAGUUUUUGAACGCAAGUUGCGCCCGAAGCCAUUAUGCCGAGGGCACGUCUGCCUGGGCGUCACGCACAUCGUCGCCCUCCGCCUCGGCCCGUAAAGGGAUCGCGGGUGUUGGGUCGGAUAUUGGCCCCCCGUGCGCUUCGGCGCGCGGUCGGCCCAAAUGUGAUUCGGCAUCGACGCGUGCCGCGACGAUUGGUGGUUGAAGAACUCAACUCGCGCGUUGUCGCGGCGUCGUUCGGCUCGAACGUGUUGACCCCGACGGUGCAUCGCACCUC
Molecule: ribosomal RNA, 511 nt
Filed under: Fraxinus excelsior (European ash)
Lineage: Eukaryota; Viridiplantae; Streptophyta; Magnoliopsida; Lamiales; Oleaceae
Description: eukaryotic LSU rRNA
Rfam family: 5.8S ribosomal RNA (bases 146-301)
Source: RNAcentral